RNAcentral lists this ribosomal RNA (468 nucleotides) under uncultured bacterium. RNAcentral's name for it is "partial 16S ribosomal RNA". It matches the Rfam family "Bacterial small subunit ribosomal RNA", at positions 28 to 507 of the family's 1533-position model. The record is from RNAcentral.
GACGAGCGCUGGCGGCGUGCUUAACACAUACAAGUCGAACGGAAAGGCCCUGCUUUUGUGGGGUGCUCGAGUGGCGAACGGGUGAGUAACACGUGAGUAACCUGCCCUUGACUUUGGGAUAACUUCAGGAAACUGGGGCUAAUACCGGAUAGGAGCUCCUGCUGCAUGGUGGGGGUUGGAAAGUUUCGGCGGUUGGGGAUGGACUCGCGGCUUAUCAGCUUGUUGGUGGGGUAGUGGCUUACCAAGGCUUUGACGGGUAGCCGGCCUGAGAGGGUGACCGGCCACAUUGGGACUGAGAUACGGCCCAGACUCCUACGGGAGGCAGCAGUGGGGAAUAUUGCACAAUGGGCGGAAGCCUGAUGCAGCAACGCCGCGUGCGGGAUGACGGCCUUCGGGUUGUAAACCGCUUUCGCCUGUGACGAAGCGUGAGUGACGGUAAUGGGUAAAGAAGCACCGGCUAACUACGUG